This 253-nucleotide ribosomal RNA is filed under the name uncultured bacterium. RNAcentral's name for it is "partial 16S ribosomal RNA". It matches the Rfam family "Bacterial small subunit ribosomal RNA", at positions 524 to 776 of the family's 1533-position model. The record is from RNAcentral.
GACGUAGGGCGCGAGCGUUGUCCGGAUUUAUUGGGCGUAAAGAGCUCGUAGGCGGCUUGUCGCGUCGACUGUGAAAACCCGAGGCUCAACUUCGGGCUUGCAGUCGAUACGGGCAGGCUAGAGUUCGGUAGGGGAGACUGGAAUUCCUGGUGUAGCGGUGAAAUGCGCAGAUAUCGGGAGGAACACCGGUGGCGAAGGCGGUUCUCUGGGCCUGACCUGACGCUGAGGAGCGAAAGCCAGGGGAGCAAACGGG